This 308-nucleotide ribosomal RNA is filed under the name uncultured bacterium. RNAcentral's name for it is "bacterial SSU rRNA". It matches the Rfam family "Bacterial small subunit ribosomal RNA", at positions 30 to 339 of the family's 1533-position model. The record is from RNAcentral.
AUUGAACGCUGGCGGCGUGCUUAACACAUGCAAGUCGUGCGGUAACAGGCGUAGCAAUACGUGCUGACGAGCGGCGAACGGGUGCGUAAUACAUGGGAAUCUGCCCUUUAGUGGGGAAUAACCCGGCGAAAGCCGGGCUAAUGCCGCAUAAGAUCUUCGGAUGAAAGCGGGGGAUCGUAAGACCUCGCGCUGAUGGAUGAGCCCAUGUCGGAUUAGCUAGNGGUGAGGUAACGCUCACCAAGGCGACGAUCCGUAGCUGGUCUGAGAGGACGCCAGCCACACUGGGACUGAGACACGGCCCAGACUCC